AGUGAACGCUGGCGGCAGGCCUAACACAUGCAAGUCGAACGGCAGCACAGAGGAGCUUGCUCCUUGGGUGGCGAGUGGCGGACGGGUGAGGAAUACGUCGGAAUCUGCCUAUUUGUGGGGGAUAACGUAGGGAAACUUACGCUAAUACCGCAUACGACCUACGGGUGAAAGCGGAGGACCUUCGGGCUUCGCGCAGAUAGAUGAGCCGACGUCGGAUUAGCUAGUUGGCGGGGUAAAGGCCCACCAAGGCGACGAUCCGUAGCUGGUCUGAGAGGAUGAUCAGCCACACUGGAACUGAGACAACGGUCCAGACUCCUACGGGAGGCAGCAGUGGGGAAUAUUGGACAAUGGGCGCAAGCCUGAUCCAGCCAUGCCGCGUGUGUGAAGAAGGCC
RNAcentral lists this ribosomal RNA (393 nucleotides) under uncultured bacterium. RNAcentral's name for it is "bacterial SSU rRNA". It matches the Rfam family "Bacterial small subunit ribosomal RNA", at positions 29 to 416 of the family's 1533-position model. The record is from RNAcentral.